This 490-nucleotide ribosomal RNA is filed under the name uncultured bacterium. RNAcentral's name for it is "partial 16S ribosomal RNA". It matches the Rfam family "Bacterial small subunit ribosomal RNA", at positions 30 to 507 of the family's 1533-position model. The record is from RNAcentral.
AUUGAACGCUGGCGGCAGGCCUAACACAUGCAAGUCGAACGGUAACAGGAAUCAGCUUGCUGAUUCGCUGACGAGUGGCGGACGGGUGAGUAAUGUCUGGGAAACUGCCUGAUGGAGGGGGAUAACUACUGGAAACGGUAGCUAAUACCGCAUAACGUCGCAAGACCAAAGAGGGGGACCUUCGGGCCUCUUGCCAUCGGAUGUGCCCAGAUGGGAUUAGCUAGUAGGUGGGGUAAAGGCUCACCUAGGCGACGAUCCCUAGCUGGUCUGAGAGGAUGACAAGCCACACUGGAACUGCGACACGGUCCGGACUCCUACGGGAGGCAGCAGUGGGGAAUAUUGCACAAUGGGCGCAAGCCUGAUGCAAACAUGCCGCGUGUAUGAAGAAAGCCUUCGGGUUGUAAAGUACUUUCAGCGGGGAGGAAGGGAGUAAAGUUAAUACCUUUGCUCAUUGACGUUACCCGCAGAAGAAGCACCGGCUAACUCCGUG